AAGUCGUAACAAGGUUUCCGUAGGUGAACCUGCGGAAGGAUCAUUAUUGAUUGGUUGAUAGUGAGUGAGAUGAGAUGGUGGUGGCGAUCGGUGGUCUGGCUGCGAGGCUGGAUGACCACCGGAUCGGACGCCAGUUGCGGGGACAGCGCACGUUGCAGCCAUCAUGCACGGGGUGGCGAUUGAUCGGGCGAUCGAUUGGUGGUUGCCCACGAUGGUGGUGGCGAUGGCGUGCUGGCCGCGACAUUUGCGCGCUUGUUUGUUUGUCAGAUGUGGGGAGGAAUGCAUUGCACACAAUGCAGA
Molecule: unclassified non-coding RNA, 300 nt
Filed under: Phylloporus sp.
Lineage: Eukaryota; Fungi; Basidiomycota; Agaricomycetes; Boletales; Boletaceae
Description: partial contains small subunit ribosomal RNA and internal transcribed spacer 1
Rfam family: Eukaryotic small subunit ribosomal RNA (bases 1-46)
Source: RNAcentral